GCUCAAAUUUGAAAUCUUCAAGGGUUUCCCUUUACGAAUUGUAGUUUAAAGAAGUGUUUUCUGUUGAGGUUUUGGUAAAAGUUCUUUGGAAUAGGACAUCAUAGAGGGUGAGAAUCCCGUAUUUGACCUUUACUUUCAACUUUGUGAUACACUUUCAAAGAGUCGGAUUGUUUGGGAAUGCAGUCCAAAAUGGGUGGUAAAUUUCAUCUAAAGCUAAAUAUUGGCGAGAGACCGAUAGCGAACAAGUACCGUGAGGGAAAGAUGAAAAGAACUUUGAAAAGAGAGUUAAACAGUACGUGAAAUUGUCAAAAGGGAAGCGUUUGACACCAGUGUUGUUUUUCUGAAAGUCAAUUAAAGAACUGUUUAUGCUAAGCUGUUUAGACUUUAUCAGCUAUCUGUUUAGUUUUGAGCUUUUCUUUAAUGCACUUUUCAGUUAACAAG
This 441-nucleotide ribosomal RNA is filed under the name uncultured Neocallimastigomycetes. RNAcentral's name for it is "LSU rRNA". It matches the Rfam family "Eukaryotic large subunit ribosomal RNA", at positions 107 to 543 of the family's 3401-position model. Lineage: Eukaryota; Fungi; Neocallimastigomycota; Neocallimastigomycetes. The record is from RNAcentral.